RNAcentral lists this ribosomal RNA (406 nucleotides) under uncultured bacterium. Its description in RNAcentral is "partial 16S ribosomal RNA". It matches the Rfam family "Bacterial small subunit ribosomal RNA", at positions 29 to 526 of the family's 1533-position model. The record is from RNAcentral.
AUUGAACGCUGGCGGCAGGCCUAACACAUGCAAGUCGAGCGAGCGGCGGACGGGUGAGUAAUGCCUGGGAAACUGCCUGAUGGAGGGGGAUAAAUAAUGGAAACGGUAGCUAAUACCGCAUACCAACAGCACUUCCCAGAUUGGAUUAGCUAGUAGGUGGGGUAACGGCUCACCUAGGCGACGAUCCCUAGCGGGUCUGGGAGGAUGACCAGCCACACUGGAACGGAGACACGGUCCAGACUCCUACGGGAGGCAGCAGUGGGGAAUAUUGCACAAUGGGCGCAAGCCUGAUGCAGCCAUGCCGCGUGUGUGAAGAAGGCCUUCGGGUUGUAAAGCACUUUCAGCGGGGAGGCGUUACCCGCAGAAGAAGCACCGGCUAACUCCGUGCCAGCAGCCGCGGUAAUAC